This 582-nucleotide ribosomal RNA is filed under the name Triticum aestivum (bread wheat). RNAcentral describes it as "partial small subunit ribosomal RNA". The record is from RNAcentral. Lineage: Eukaryota; Viridiplantae; Streptophyta; Magnoliopsida; Poales; Poaceae.
AUGGAUGAUUUGGAGAGGCGUCUGCAGCUCGUCAUGGCCGUCUACGUGGGCGGGUCCAGGCCCUUGGUGUCGUGUGAGGAGGCGGCGACGAUCUCAGCUUGCCUCAACAUUCCACGGCAUCGGUUCUCAGUUCACAAGUAUUUCCUGAAGGACUUUUUGGUGGUGUUCGCAUCCUAUGAGAUCAGGAACAGGGCCCUGGCUGGGCCGGCCGUGGAGCUGCAUGGGGUUCAGCUUCACAUCAAGCCAUGGCUACGCCAAGCUCAAGCGAAGUUGAAGAUCAUGCGAGUGCAAGUGGAUAUGUUGAUCGAGGGGGUGCCAUCGCAUGUGUGGUCGCGGGACACAGUGGUGGAGCUGCUGGGAAGUGCGUGCUUGAUUGACAGCCUGGCACCGGAGACAGAGAGUCAGGAAGAUUUGUCCCUCUUCAAGCUAAGGGCUUGGUGCGUCGAGCCGGAGGAGGUGCGGUUUUUUCGCCGCCUGUGGGUGCCGGAGCCUGAGCCGAUGUCCGUUGAUCCGGCGAAGCGUCGACAAUCCUUUAGGCAGCUUUUGGAGUACCCGACCUUCAUUCACAUUGGCAGGAUGUGA